ACUUUGUAGCUCAUUUGGGUAGAGCAAUCGACUUAUCAUCGAUGGGUAGCAGGUUCGACUCCUGCCAAAGUUA
This 73-nucleotide transfer RNA is filed under the name Microbulbifer okhotskensis. Its description in RNAcentral is "tRNA-Ile". It matches the Rfam family "tRNA". Rfam says of the family: Transfer RNA (tRNA) molecules are approximately 80 nucleotides in length. Their secondary structure includes four short double-helical elements and three loops (D, anti-codon, and T loops). Further hydrogen bonds mediate the characteristic L-shaped molecular structure. tRNAs have two regions of fundamental functional importance: the anti-codon, which is responsible for specific mRNA codon recognition, and the 3' end, to which the tRNAs corresponding amino acid is attached (by aminoacyl-tRNA synthetases). tRNAs cope with the degeneracy of the genetic code in two manners: having more than one tRNA (with a specific anti-codon) for a particular amino acid; and 'wobble' base-pairing, i.e. permitting non-standard base-pairing at the 3rd anti-codon position. The record is from RNAcentral. Lineage: Bacteria; Pseudomonadati; Pseudomonadota; Gammaproteobacteria; Cellvibrionales; Microbulbiferaceae.